GACGAACGCUGGCGGCGUGCCUAAUACAUGCAAGUAGAACGCUGAAGGAGGAGCUUGCUCUUCUGGAUGAGUUGCGAACGGGUGAGUAACGCGUAGGUAACCUGCCUGGAAGCGGGGGAUAACUAUUGGAAACGAUAGCUAAUACCGCAUAACAGUAGAUGUUGCAUGACAUUUACUUAAAAGGUGCAAUUGCAUCACUACCAGAUGGACCUGCGUUGUAUUAGCUAGUUGGUGGGGUAACGGCUCACCAAGGCGACGAUACAUAGCCGACCUGAGAGGGUGAUCGGCCACACUGGGACUGAGACACGGCCCAGACUCCUACGGGAGGCAGCAGUAGGGAAUCUUCGGCAAUGGACGGAAGUCUGACCGAGCAACGCCGCGUGAGUGAAGAAGGGUUUCGGAUCGUAAAGCUCUGUUGUAAGAGAAGAACGAGUGUGAGAGUGGAAAGUUCACACUGUGACGGUAGCUUACCAGAAAGGGACGGCUAACUACGUG
This 495-nucleotide ribosomal RNA is filed under the name uncultured bacterium. Its description in RNAcentral is "partial 16S ribosomal RNA". It matches the Rfam family "Bacterial small subunit ribosomal RNA", at positions 28 to 507 of the family's 1533-position model. The record is from RNAcentral.